UCAUAAAGCAAUGGAAACUACCAGGACAAGCCCAGAAGCCUUAAAUUUAACCAAGAUCCAAAAUAAGAAUUAAGGCCAAGCAAGCACCAAUCAAGAGACACAAUGCUAUAAGACAAUCGGGCUGAGAAACAUUAUGAAAAUAGUGUCAUUGGUGAUUGUUGGGGUGACAUUUAUUGCACUGUUAGUGAAACUUAAGUGAAAAUUAAGUAAGAACUCCUUGGGGCUGAAACAGGCUUAUGUGCACUCAACCUGACAGUAUAACUAGCAUAGUAUUUUUUCCAAGCACAUUUAACACAUACAUGUAGUAAAAUAUGAAAGAUGAAAAUGGUCAUACAAGUUUGUUGUGUUUGGGGUCUUUCAAUAAAAGAUCUGAUGUUUCCCUCCCAGGUGGUAGUUAUCUGUAGAUCUGUUAAGUUAUACCUGCUGUAAUGUCCAUAAAACAAGAGAGCCGCGGAACAAACACCAACAUUUCUCUCUUGAUUUACAUUCCCCAAAGGGGCACAACUCAUCAAGCAUUAAAGCCAGAAAAAUGGGCCUUGCUGAACAUAUCCACCAAGUUUCAUUUAAAUACAUCAACAUUUUUUUUCUUGUUAUUACCAUGGUAAAGUUUAUGCACAAAGACGGCACUGUUGAAGCCUUUAAAACUGACAGUACCUUUCUAUUUUUCUUUGAAAAACAGACAAUUAAAUCAAUUGUGUGUCAUUUAUAACAUUGAACAGAACAUGUGCAAAAAUUUCUUUAGGAAAAUCAAUGUCCUACAUGACUUAUAAAUUUCAAGAUUUUAUUAGUUGCAUUCCAUUUAGUUAACGUCCAUGAUGUAUUGAUAAAGACUUGUUUCAAACUUUAGUCCGAAGAAGCAGACAGGCAAUCCCAGGAAUACCAGUCCAUUCUGUUCCGCUCUUCAGCAGUAAAGACGAUAGCGACAUGUAAAAGUAACCAGACUUAGAGGAAGAUACUUGGUAGCUGAUCGCAGACUCAACAAGAAGGCUCCUGUUCUGGCUUUGAGCAAGAGUUGAAAAUCAAGGAGCUGUGAUGUACAAUAGAGGUACGCUCAAACGUGGAGGAAAUGUUCAACCCUGACCGGACCCAGUUGCCAAUAAUCUUUAUACUGCGAUUGGUUAGGAAGUCUUAUUCAGGCCAAAUGCUGCACUGGCCAAGAGCUUGGUCACAAGGAAGGAUACAGGAAGACAGUUGUGUUGAUGAACAGCAGCUAGGCAGGAACAGUACUCUG
Molecule: long non-coding RNA, 1231 nt
Organism: Mya arenaria
Lineage: Eukaryota; Metazoa; Mollusca; Bivalvia; Myida; Myidae
Exons: 3
Source: RefSeq, a predicted model, not a curated record